This is a long non-coding RNA of Megalobrama amblycephala (Wuchang bream), 2433 nucleotides long. RefSeq lists it as uncharacterized. The transcript is spliced from 5 exons. Lineage: Eukaryota; Metazoa; Chordata; Actinopteri; Cypriniformes; Xenocyprididae. The record is from RefSeq and is a predicted model, not a curated record.
UGACAAUUAUCGAUUUCAGACUAGGAUUUUGUUUCAUUGCUUGUUAUAUUUUAAACAUAUAAGCGCUACAUAACAUAAACUUUAAUAAUGCCACACUAAUAUUGCUUUAGGGAGGAAAACAUUUAAUAUUAUAAACUACAAACCAUAGACUGUAAAAAAAGACCCUACAAACCGACAUGUUCAACGUUUAAUACCAUACAGUCUGAUGAGGAAAUAGACCUUUAAAAUGUCAUUUUAAACGCAUAACGCAAAAUAUUGACAUUUUCUGACAAAGUUAAGAAUCGAUGAAUGAAGGUCUUACGGGUGUGGAACGGCAUGAGGGCUACUUCAUCAUAAAUUGCUCCAAUGGUCAGUACAUUUCAUUCAAUGUUUCUGACCACUGUUAAACCUCUUACUGUGUUAAUACAUCAGUCUUUUACUCUUGUCUGGAGACACGAGCACGCAUGAGUCGACAUGGGCUCUUUUUAUGUGACUCUGAACUCUGACUACAUGCUGAUUCACUGUUACAUUUAUCAUUCUCCAAAAUAAGUUAUAAUUCUCUUCACAUAAAGCAUGUUCAAAUAUCACCUGAGCUUCACCUCAGACUGGUAAAGUGUAUUUUGCCAGUUCUGAUAACCACAUGGAGGAGUAAUCCAGUGUAAGAAGGCACUGCAUGUGUGAUACGAGUGCGGGACCUUUGACUCCUGAAUCAGGGAGUGAUCCUCAGUGGCGCUUGGAGAAAGCCGGCGUUUCCUUUGGGUCCAGGACAAAAGCAGAUAGACAUCUGGGGUCCCGAGGCGGCGUGAGGCUGAUUGCUGUGAAAGCGGAGGUCAGGCUGCGUGGAAUGGGUUUAGCCUCACAGGUAGAGCAUCUGAGGAUCAGGGAUAGAGGAAGCAGCGCGUGCACCGAAAUCAAAGGAUCAGUGUACGGACACGAUAAUAUCAGAGGAUGUAAUGGCUGUGAGAAGUGGAUCAGAGGGGAGUGUGUGUUUGUGUGUGUGUGUGGAGGCCACAUGUAAACAGGCUAGUGGCUCAUGCAGCGGCGUUAACCAGCUGUGCAGCCGCUCGCAGUAGGAGAUGAAUUUGCAGAGGAUGUUUGGCUUUGAUAUGCAGGAGACGCAGCACUGAUCUGUGCAUCGCUGCAGUCGCACACGCCGAUUCUAAUGGCAGCGUUUUACCUCGACACACACCGGACACUCACAUCAGCCUCCCGCCGGCAGAACACAACACACUUUAAAACGUGCUUAUUUACCUGUUUUCUUAUCGUUUUUUGUUCACUUAUUUUUAUUUUUUUAUUUUUUAACCCAAAUGUUGGAUAAUUUUAUUAGGUUAUUUUUAUUAUUUUUACCCAAGUGCUGGGUCACUCUAAAAAUGCGGGGUUAUUUUCAUUUAUUUUAAUUUUUUUUUUUACCCAAAUGCUAGGUUCAGCUUGCUGGGUAAUUUUAUUGGGUUAUUUUUACCCAUGCGCUGGGUCACUCUGAAUAUGCUGGGUUAUUUUUAUUUAUUUUUUUUAACCAAAAGCUGGGUUUAGCCUGCUGGGUAAUUUUAUUGGGUUAUUUUUACCUAUGCGCUGGGUCACUCUUAAUAUGCUGGGUUAUUUUUUUUUUUACCCAAAAGCUGGGUUUAGUAUGCUGGGUAAUUUUAUUGAGUUAUUUUUCCCAUGCGCUGGGUCACUCUGAAUAUGCUGGGUUAUUUUUUUUUAUUUUUUUUUAACCAAAAGCUGGGUUUAGCCUGCUGGGUAAUUUUAUUGGGUUAUUUUUACCUAUGCGCUGGGUCACUCUGAAAUUGCUGGGUUAUUUUUUUUUUUUUUUUUUUACCCAAAAGCUGGGUUUAGCAUGCUGGGUAAUUUUAUUGGGUUGUUUUUAAUAUUUUUACCCAAGUGCUUGGUAGUUUUUCUGUAUCUCAGCUGCUGGGUCAUUUUAAUGUCUAUGAACCCCCUCACAUACCUACCCAGCGCUGGGUAAAUCUAACCCAAUGUUGGGUAGUCUGUACCAAACCGGUUAAAACUGGAACUUAACGGUCGUUUUGUUUUCUGUUUUGAGAGAAAACUUCCUGAGGAUAUAUUCCUGAAUGAAAUUAAGUACUAGCCUUCUACAAACACAACACACACCGGAUCGCCACUCGAAGCGAAUGACGCACCGGCGCCACCAUGACAGUUUCACGGCCGUCAAACGAAUGCGCGGCCUGGGCUGAAACACGACGCGACAUCGCUGUCAUAUGUAACAAAGUUGCUCCACUGACUAUAACACUGUUGAUCUAGUGUGCUAGCGCUGUGGUCGCACUAUGCGUUUGACGUUUGAAACUUAAAUGCCUGAAAGAUGAGAUGGCACAAGAUUCCCAUUGGCUGCUGUUUCUGCUCCUGUCAUGUCUUGGGUUGUUUUUAACCCAGCAAUUUUUAGAGUGUUAUUGUUUUAAAUUCAUGUUCCUUGUAAUCUUGAAUCAGAAUAUCUUCUCC